Acyrthosiphon pisum (pea aphid) is the source of this 1214-nucleotide RNA transcript. It is a transcript of the gene named zinc finger protein 112-like, with no coding region annotated. NCBI's taxonomy places the organism in Eukaryota, Metazoa, Arthropoda, Insecta, Hemiptera, Aphididae. The transcript has a single exon. The record is from RefSeq and is a predicted model, not a curated record.
UGGGGACUGGUGGAGUCCACUCUCUAGGCAGUCUGUUGUUAAUAUUUUUCAUUAUAAAUUUCUACUUUCGUGCAUUCUGUCUUGGUACGUACUUUGAAUUAAAAUAAUAUUAAAUACUAUAUAUGUAUUUAGUAUUAGUUAUUACUUAUUAGUAUUUCACUUUAUUACGCCAAGCCAUAGCGGUUAUUUUUUUUUAUAUUGUUGGUAUUUAUUUUAUUAAUUUAUUCGAUUAAACUAUUGUUGAAACGAUAAUAAUUUCAGCCAUAUUAAUUAUGUAAAACGAGUUAUUAACAUUUUGAAUACAUAAAUGUUAUUUCGGUAAUUAAAACAUUAUUUUUGCCACUAUGACUGGAUCCUUGUUUAAAGUGAUACCUAAUUUAACAUUCACAAACAGUUAACGAUCGUUAGAACCAUGGCCAUACAUCCAUGUCCGUAUGAAGAUUGCACUUCUACGUUCAGUCGUCCAUAUCGUUUGCAAAUUCAUAUUCAAAGACAUCAAGGCAUUAAACAAUUCCAAUGCACCCAAUGCGAUCGCGGUUACCAUCGACGACAGCACUUGCAGAGACACUUUGCCGAGGCUCAUCAAAAUCAUUCAAGAUUAGAAGAACCAUUGUUUUGUGAUCACUGUGACCGACCAUUUAACACAGCGUGGGGCCUCCGCAGACAUCAGGACAAAAUUAAGGUACCUAAAUUACGUGUCAGAACGCAUCGCUGUGAAACUUGUGGCCGAAGGUUUUUUCAAGCCGAUCAUCUCAAAAUCCAUUCUCUUAGACACGAACGUUUCAAAUGUGACAUGCCAUCAUGUCCCCUGUCUGAACACAAAUUCAGUUGGUCGUUUUAUCAACAACACUUAGCCACUCACCACUCUGAACCUUAUGUGUGUCAUCAUUGUAAUGAACAAUUUAUUCUUAAGGCUCAAAUAAGGCAACAUGUUAUACAACACAUGCCCAAAUUUGUUUGCACAGAGUUGGGAUGUGGUAAAACAUUUGCCGAGUCUAGGUAUAUGCAUAAUCAUAUUCAAAUGUCUCAUAAAGAAAGAAGAUAUGUAUGCAGUGUUGUUGGAUGUGAUUGGGUGUUUACGUUCAAAAGUCGUUUAGAAAAACAUAUCAAAGUCCAUCAACGAAAUGGGAGAAUUGUUUCAAUGGCUAAAAGAUAUAAAAAAAAAGAAAAAACAUUUUUAAUGGCAAAUAAGUUGGCUGCAUUAGCUCUAAAAA